GGGGAGACCAAAACCGGAACACACUCCCAUGACAUUGACGUACCAUUGUUUUUAUGAUAACACUUGAUAUAUCGUCGCUUCCUGUUUUCACUCCUCCCCGGGAUCCGCGAGGCCGCCAAGACCCACAAGCCGGUGGAGCAAGCAGGAGCUGGCACACGCCGUCAACGCCAGCGCCACGGUGCUGGCCGAGGCCGAGCCGUCCAGCCCUGAGUUUUGGAGUCGCAGCACAGCCGUGGAAAUUGUCAACAGCAGCAAAGUUGUCCAGGCUGAGACAACCCUGCUUCUGGAUGGAAAACAUCCGGUAAGCUCUCUCGCCACUAGCUGCUGCCACUUUUGGCCAUCUGAUCCUCCUCAGUCCGAGUUCCCUGAGGAAGAGGGGCUCCGCUUAACCCCGAACAGCCUGAGUGCUGACCUCCACAAACUGGAUGACAUCCACUGGAUCUGUCCACUAAUGCACUGCUCUGAGGAGGAACACGGGAUGCCAAGCGUACGACUCCCGAAGCAGAAUCGCCAGGCAACUGAUGAUCUUUUCCGGCCCCUCACCUUGACCGCCGCGAGUGAGGAGACGUCGUCCUCUUAUCUGCCGGCACCCGCUGUCCUGACUGCGGCGUAGGCGGCAAAGAUGAGCUGUUUUGCGUUUCCUUACUGUGCAUUUAUUUUUAGGAAGCGGGAUCACUCGCAUUGCUCCUCCACUGGCCUGCUGUGCUAAUGAAAGAGCCUACAAUUCUGUCAUUUUGUCACAAACGUUGCCUGCAUGCAGCAGAGUACAGAACAUCUUUUAGAAACGACACGAUGGAAACCGCCUUCAGACUGAAAUGAGACUUUUCGGGGACACCUUGUUUCUACGUCACGCAACCUUCAAUGGCACCAGAAGCCGAUGUGCAGAAAUCUUGGACGUUGAACAGAAAGGAAAAACAUUGACUGUAUUUGUGUGUUGAGCUGUUAAUAAUACUACUGAUAAUGAUGUGCACAUGCAAGGUGCUCAAGUGGUUUUGACUUUGUUUGGCUUGUCGUGACCUCAACUAAAGAGGUCACGGGGGUGGUUCACGAUCAGCUGACUCGAGAUGUAAUGCACCAAUGUGAAUGUUUGCUUUGCCAGUAGUUCGCAAUUGUUCUUAUCGUCUUGCUCUCGUGGGUUUGCUGUCCAAUCUCCCACCACCCCCGGGUCCACCAAACCAUCCCUCCCGUGCGUUCAGAAACACGAUAGGAUCAAUGAAGAAAUCAAGUCGGCCAAAUGGGCAAAUUGGUCGUUUGCGAAAGCAUGUUUAGUCUAAGCCGAUGCUUGCUGCGAGGGGCAUCCUAAACGAUAGCGCGUGCAGGAACAUGCUCGUUUCCGCUCACGGUCGAGCAUUGCCAAGCUCCACUGUCGUCGGGUACUGUUUCUGCAUCCAGUGUGCGCUGCUGCCUUUUUGCCUUCAUGGCUUUUGUGCUGUUGUGCCAAGUCGAGCGCCACACUCCAGUGGUGUGUGCAAUGUGGCGUUCAUUUCAAGUUUACUGUGUCUGGGCUCGCACUUUACAAACUCCUUGAUGGGGGAAAUGUGCGUGUACACGCGUUUACGUCAAAUCAGGUGAAGAAUAUGAAUUUUUAUUUGUGAACUAUUAAAUAUGUAAUGUAAAAAUGCACGCCCAUCGAUGUGAUCC
This is a long non-coding RNA of Phyllopteryx taeniolatus (common seadragon), 1641 nucleotides long. RefSeq lists it as uncharacterized. The record is from RefSeq and is a predicted model, not a curated record. Lineage: Eukaryota; Metazoa; Chordata; Actinopteri; Syngnathiformes; Syngnathidae. The transcript has 3 exons.